Molecule: long non-coding RNA, 856 nt
Organism: Bombina bombina (fire-bellied toad)
Lineage: Eukaryota; Metazoa; Chordata; Amphibia; Anura; Bombinatoridae
Exons: 2
Source: RefSeq, a predicted model, not a curated record
CUAUCAAUAAAUUAAAUAAACUACAAAUAUCUAAACUAAAAUACAAUAAAAUAAUCUAAAAUAAAUUACAAAAAAAACCAAACACUAAUUUACAAAAAAUAAAAAAAUAUAUUACAAGAUUUUUAAGCUAAUUACACCUAUUCUAAGCCCCUAAUAAAAUAAUAAAGCCCCCCAAAAUAAAAAAAUUUCCCUGCCCUAUUCUAAAUUAAAAAAGUUCAAAGCUCUUUUACCUUACCAGCCCUUAAAAGGGCUUUUUGCGGGGCAUGCCCCAAAGAAAACUGCUCUUUUGCCUGUAAAGAUAAACACAAUACCACCCCCCAACAUUACAACCCACCACCCACAUACCCCUAUUCUAAACCCACCCAAACCCCCCUUAAAUAAACCUAACACUACCCCCCUGAAGAUCUCCCUACCUUGUCUUCACCCAGCCGAGCAGAACUCUUCAUCCGAUCCGGGCGAUGUCUUCAAUCAAGCUGCAGAGAAGUCUUCUUCCAUCCGGUGAUGUCUUCAAGCAAAGCGGCAUCUUCAAUCUUCUUUCUUCGCUCCUCCGCCGCGGAGCAUCCAUCCGGCACGACGACUUCCCGACGAAUGAGGUAAUUAACAAGAUGAGGAAGAGUGGUGAACGUGACUUGACAUUCACUUUAAUCUUUACACCAUCUGGAGACAAAAACCUUCAAGUAAUCCUCUGCACUGUUUGUGCAUAAUCAAGGCGACAACCAUCACAGCCUGUUUGGGAAGUUAAUACCCCAAAUUUCUGCACAAAGUUUUUACCUAACACCACCAAGAGACUUUAAUUCACCAGUACAAACACUGGUUUGUUUUUGUGCUAAAAUAAAGGAGAUUUUAUUUGCACUAA